GCAAAGGCUAGAGUUACAAAUACGAAG
Molecule: non-coding RNA, 27 nt
Filed under: Homo sapiens (human)
Lineage: Eukaryota; Metazoa; Chordata; Mammalia; Primates; Hominidae
Source: RNAcentral